This 256-nucleotide ribosomal RNA is filed under the name uncultured bacterium. RNAcentral describes it as "partial 16S ribosomal RNA". It matches the Rfam family "Bacterial small subunit ribosomal RNA", at positions 524 to 776 of the family's 1533-position model. The record is from RNAcentral.
UACGUAGGGGGCAAGCGUUGUCCGGAUUUAUUGGGCGUAAAGAGCGUGUAGGCGGCCAUGCAGGUCAGCUGUGAAAACUCGAUGGCUCAACCUCGAGAUGUCGGUUGAAAACCGUGUGGCUAGAGUCCGGAAGAGGAGGAGUGGAAUUCCUGGUGUAGCGGUGGAAUGCGCAGAUAUCAGGAGGAACACCGAUGGCGAAGGCAGGUCUCUGGGCCAUUACUGACACUGAGAAGCGAAAGCAUGGGGAGCGAACAGG